Molecule: ribosomal RNA, 189 nt
Filed under: Triticum aestivum (bread wheat)
Lineage: Eukaryota; Viridiplantae; Streptophyta; Magnoliopsida; Poales; Poaceae
Description: partial small subunit ribosomal RNA
Source: RNAcentral
AUGUGGAUUCGAACCACUGAAGGAUUUCCAGGGCAAUGCCCCUUGCUCUUCCCACUGAAACAAGAAAAAAAGGAUUUGCAGUCCAGCAAGAAAACGGAUGCGCUAACGCGCAACGGCUUUCGCGCUAGUUGCUCAAUCCGUUGCUUGUUUGGUUCGAGGUUGAGCUCACCCGCCGCCCUACGUCAGUAG